AUGACGGGAGCUUGCUCCUUGAUUCAGCGGCGGACGGGUGAGUAAUGCCUAGGAAUCUGCCUGGUAGUGGGGGACAACGUUUCGAAAGGAACGCUAAUACCGCAUACGUCCUACGGGAGAAAGCAGGGGACCUUCGGGCCUUGCGCUAUCAGAUGAGCCUAGGUCGGAUUAGCUAGUUGGUGGGGUAAUGGCUCACCAAGGCGACGAUCCGUAACUGGUCUGAGAGGAUGAUCAGUCACACUGGAACUGAGACACGGUCCAGACUCCUACGGGAGGCAGCAGUGGGGAAUAUUGGACAAUGGGCGAAAGCCUGAUCCAGCCAUGCCGCGUGUGUGAAGAAGGUCUUCGGAUUGUAAAGCACUUUAAGUUGGGAGGAAGGGCAGUAAGCUAAUACCUUGCUGUUUUGACGUUACCGACAGAAUAAGCACCGGCUAACUCUGUGCCAGCAGCCGCGGUAAUACAGAGGGUGCAAGCGUUAAUCGGAAUUACUGGGCGUAAAGCGCGCGUAGGUGGUUCGUUAAGUUGGAUGUGAAAGCCCCGGGCUCAACCUGGGAACUGCAUCCAAAACUGGCGAGCUAGAGUACGGUAGAGGGUGGUGGAAUUUCCUGUGUAGCGGUGAAAUGCGUAGAUAUAGGAAGGAACACCAGUGGCGAAGGCGACCACCUGGACUGAUACUGACACUGAGGUGCGAAAGCGUGGGGAGCAAACAGGAUUAGAUAC
This 720-nucleotide ribosomal RNA is filed under the name Pseudomonas sp. CB32(2010). Its description in RNAcentral is "bacterial SSU rRNA". It matches the Rfam family "Bacterial small subunit ribosomal RNA", at positions 69 to 785 of the family's 1533-position model. The record is from RNAcentral. Lineage: Bacteria; Pseudomonadati; Pseudomonadota; Gammaproteobacteria; Pseudomonadales; Pseudomonadaceae.